GGGGCAUUAGCUCAGCUGGGAGAGUGCUUGCAUGGCAUGCAAGAGGUCGCGGGUUCGAGCCCCGCAUGCUCCA
This 73-nucleotide transfer RNA is filed under the name Oceanobacillus luteolus. RNAcentral describes it as "tRNA-Ala". It matches the Rfam family "tRNA". From Rfam's summary of the family: Transfer RNA (tRNA) molecules are approximately 80 nucleotides in length. Their secondary structure includes four short double-helical elements and three loops (D, anti-codon, and T loops). Further hydrogen bonds mediate the characteristic L-shaped molecular structure. tRNAs have two regions of fundamental functional importance: the anti-codon, which is responsible for specific mRNA codon recognition, and the 3' end, to which the tRNAs corresponding amino acid is attached (by aminoacyl-tRNA synthetases). tRNAs cope with the degeneracy of the genetic code in two manners: having more than one tRNA (with a specific anti-codon) for a particular amino acid; and 'wobble' base-pairing, i.e. permitting non-standard base-pairing at the 3rd anti-codon position. The record is from RNAcentral. RNAcentral also lists the same sequence under 3 other names. Lineage: Bacteria; Bacillati; Bacillota; Bacilli; Caryophanales; Bacillaceae.